This 465-nucleotide ribosomal RNA is filed under the name uncultured bacterium. Its description in RNAcentral is "partial 16S ribosomal RNA". It matches the Rfam family "Bacterial small subunit ribosomal RNA", at positions 28 to 507 of the family's 1533-position model. The record is from RNAcentral.
GACGAACGCUGGCGGCGUGCUUAACACAUGCAAGUCGAACGGAAAGGCCCCUUUGGGGGUCCUCGAGUGGCGCACGGGUGCGUAACACGUGAGUAACCUGCCCUUGACUUCGGGAUAACUUCAGGAAACUGGGGCUAAUACCGGAUAGGAAUCCUUGCUGCAUGGUGGGGGUUGGAAAGCUUCGGCGGUUUUGGAUGGACUCGCGGCUUAUCAGCUUGUUGGUGGGGUAGUGGCUUACCAAGGCUUUGACGGGUAGCCGGCCUGAGAGGGCGACCGGCCACAUUGGGACUGCGAUACGGCCCAGACUCCUACGGGAGGCAGCAGUGGGGAAUAUUGCACAAUGGGCGGCAGCCUGAUGCAGCAACGCCGCGUGCGGGAUGACGGCCUUCGGGUUGUAAACCGCUUUCAGCAGGGGCGAAGCUUGUGGUGACGGUACCUGCAGAAGAAGCACCGGCUAACUACGUG